UCUUUGCUGGCGACCGGCGCACGGGUGAGUAACACGUAUCCAACCUGCCCUUUACUCGGGGAUAGCCUUUCGAAAGAAAGAUUAAUACCCGAUAGCAUAAUGAUUCCGCAAGGUUUCAUUAUUAAAGGAUUCCGGUAAAGGAUGGGGAUGCGUUCCAUUAAGUUGUUGGUGAGGUAACGGCCCACCAAGCCUUCGAUGGAUAGGGGUUCUGAGAGGAAGGUCCCCCACAUUGGAACUGAGACACGGUCCAAACUCCUACGGGAGGCAGCAGUGAGGAAUAUUGGUCAAUGGGCGCUAGCCUGAACCAGCCAAGUAGCGUGAAGGAUGAAGGCUCUAUGGGUCGUAAACUUCUUUUAUAUAAGAAUAAAGUGCAGUAUGUAUACUGUUUUGUAUGUAUUAUAUGAAUAAGGAUCGGCUAACUCCGUGCCAGCAGCCGCGGUAAUACGGAGGAUCCGAGCGUUAUCCGGAUUUAUUGGGUUUAAAGGGAGCGUAGGUGGACUGGUAAGUCAGUUGUGAAAGCUUGCGGCUCAACCGUAAAAUUGCAGUUGAUACUGUCAGUCUUGAGUACAGUAGAGGUGGGCGGAAUUCGUGGUGUAGCGGUGAAAUGCUUAGAUAUCACGAAGAACUCCGAUUGCGAAGGCCGCUCACUGGACUGCAACUGACACUGAUGCUCGAAAGUGUGGGUAUCAAACAGGAUUAGAUACCCUGGUAGUCCACACAGUAAACGAUGAAUACUCGCUGUUUGCGAUAUACAGUAAGCGGCCAAGCGAAAGCAUUAAGUAUUCCACCUGGGGAGUACGCCGGCAACGGUGAAACUCAAAGGAAUUGACGGGGGCCCGCACAAGCGGAGGAACAUGUGGUUUAAUUCGAUGAUACGCGAGGAACCUUACCCGGGCUUAAAUUGCAGUGGAAUGAUGUGGAAACAUGUCAGUGAGCAAUCACCGCUGUGAAGGUGCUGCAUGGUUGCCGUCAGCUCGUGCCGUGAGGUGUCGGCUUAAGUGCCAUAACGAGCGCAACCCUUAUCUUUAGUUACUAACAGGUUAUGCUGAGGACUCUAGAGAGACUGCCGUCGUAAGAUGUGAGGAAGGUGGGGAUGACGUCAAAUCAGCACGGCCCUUACGUCCGGGGCUACACACGUGUUACAAUGGGGGGUACAGAAGGCAGCUAGCGGGUGACCGUAUGCUAAUCCCAAAAUCCUCUCUCAGUUCGGAUCGAAGUCUGCAACCCGACUUCGUGAAGCUGGAUUCGCUAGUAAUCGCGCAUCAGCCACGGCGCGGUGAAUACGUUCCCGGGCCUUGUACACACCGCCCGUCAAGCCAUGGGAGCCGGGGGUACCUGAAGUACGUAACCGCAAGGAUCGUCCUAGGGUA
RNAcentral lists this ribosomal RNA (1370 nucleotides) under uncultured organism. RNAcentral's name for it is "16S ribosomal RNA". It matches the Rfam family "Bacterial small subunit ribosomal RNA". The record is from RNAcentral.